AAACGAAGCCGGAAAACAGAUUUAAACCAGUCCCUGAACCGUCAGCCUCUGUUUGUCAGUACUGUGAGGAACCUGAGUCACGGAGCCUGGAUGUUGAAACAAACUGCGGAGCUGCUGCUUUGUCGAACAUGAAUGAGGCUGGACACUGAACACACCUGCGGCGCGAAGGUGUCACCACCUCAUCCACAACAUCAUCCAUGAUCUGCGCAGGAGACUGGGGUUCCACAAUUCAGUGGCAUCGCCCGCGAUCACAGAGACAUUGUUGAUGAUCUCAGAAACAUCGUCCACAGAGACGUAGUCCACGAACAGAGAGUCUUUGAACAAUGAGGAAGUUCUUUGAGACCAGGACAGAGGCCUCCAGGUGUCACCACUUGGUCCACCACAUCAUCUUGUCAAGACGUCGUCCACGAUCGCCGAGACAUGGUCCAUGAUUGGAGAGACAUUGUUGAAGAUGAGGAUCACGAUCAGAUCAGAGACAGUGUGUGUGAUCGCAGAGACUUUGUGAAAGACGAGACAGACAUUGUUCACAGAGAUAUUGUCCAUGAUUCUUUGACGUCUUAAUAUACUGUGACAUUUUUUGAGACUUUACUAUGACAUUUUUUUCACAUUUUUGACGCCUUAGUGUACUAUGACAUUUUUUUCAUAUUUUUGACGCCUUACUAUACUAUGACAUUUUUUGACCAUUUUUGAUGCCUCACUAUACUAUGACAUUUUUUGACAUUUUUGACACCUUACUAUACUAUGACAUUUUUUUCACAUUUUUGACGCCUUACUAUACUAUGACAUUUUUUUCACAUU
Long non-coding RNA from Lates calcarifer (barramundi perch), 798 nucleotides. RefSeq lists it as uncharacterized. Lineage: Eukaryota; Metazoa; Chordata; Actinopteri; Centropomidae. The record is from RefSeq and is a predicted model, not a curated record. The transcript is spliced from 3 exons.